GACCGUCGUCGCGUCUCGCCGCCGCGCGAUCGUUCUCGUGACUGCGGACUACUUUCCUGCGGCGGACGAACGACCGCGGCAACGCGCACGCGUCGACCAGACGCGCACGCCACCUGGCACUGCCGCGAGCAACCGCAUUGGUGGCGCGUAGUCGUGCGACGCGUCCAUUGCGCAAGAUUGACCGUUGAGUGUUUCGAGACGUUUCCGUAACCGUUUGAAAUACGUUUUCCGCGCGUACACCGUUUUUCUGCCGCAUUCCGCGAUGUUCACGGACGUUCGCUAAGGCUUUUUUCUGCAGUUUUAUCUAAUCUUUCGCUGUCUUUCUACAGAAACGUUGCGGCAACCCUCACUGAACGAACCUAGGGUUAUGGCAACGUUAGAAUUAGGAAACAGGCCCUCGAAAAGAAUUUCAUCGUAACAUCCUAACAAAGUUCGAGUUAUCACAUGCGGUAGUGAGUGUUUUUUAACGAUAAAUUAUAUCGAAGAAAGUCGAGCUGAGUUUUUCCUGAGUGCUUCAACGACGAAUGAUUGCGAUGAAUCUGUAUUGAGAGCGAAGAUGAUGUUUCGGCGAUCCGUUGCUUGAUUCAGUUCUCCAGAAAGGUGCAUCGCCGCGAUUGUGAUGUCUUAAGGACGAGCAAGCGAAGUCUCUGGACGCGCGAGCGUGCGAGCGAACGAGCAGAAAACGAUCGCGCGUCAUUAGAUCCUGGUCUUGGCCUGACGUCUCGGAGGAACGGCCGACGUAACGUAAGCUUGCAUCCCGCCGCCGACGCGACGCGACGCCGCGCGUUCGACAAGGAUAAACGCCAGAGACACAACACAACGCGCGCGAGAGGAGAUCGGCGAGUAAGAGCUAGAGGCGCGCGCGGCCGGAGAGACCGGGGAGUGGGUGAGCCGACCUCUGACCCCGGCGCGCGAGGGGCGACCGGGGGACCGCGGCACCGUGGCGCAUAGCUCAGGCAUAGCUCGGGCAUAGGCAUACAAGCGCGCGGCGCGACUCGCCCGCCUUUCACUUCGCGAGGAGACGCGAAGGUACGAAACACCCAUGCACGCAGCGUGCUCGAAAUGGCAAAGUUGAAGAUUCUGUGUCGGGCUUUCAUCGGCACGAAAAGAAAGGCGGAUAAUGGGAUUAGAAGUUUCGUGUGCAAUCUGACUGCUCCUCUUACCGGGCGAUUGCAAAAUCGCGACGGGACUCGGGAUAAUCUUGUUUGGCGGCGCGAGGAUGCCGCGCCGGACAAGAUUUUCGUGUUGGAACUUCCGAAAGAGAAGGGUCUUCCUCCCCCGCUCGCUCUUCGCACAGCGAACAACACGAACGGGGAGUUUUUUUCGGGUCAGUAAUCGUGGCCUGAGAAAAGAGCUUAGCUCGUGUUUGUUUUUCGGACACGGGCACUAAUUUUGCGCGGUUAGGUAUCGUGCAGGAAACGGAAGAGUCUCGCCGAUGAAGAAGAAAAGGAACGACUCCGCGAACAUCCCGACGAACUUCCUUACUUCGUAAUUGAGAGCAAAGAGGAUGUGACCUCCGCUUUCUUUAAACAUCGUAUACCGUAAAUUUCUCGAAAUAAUAAGAUAGGGGUUACAGGAUUCUAACUAAUUAGAGAGUAAAUUUCUAUAAUUUCUUUAAAAAAUAAUAGAUGUUGGAAAUAAAUUUGCGUAAUAAAUUUAAUUAGAGGUGACAAUAUAUGAGAAGAGGAUCGGAUCACGUUCGGUUAAUGAUAUCUUUAAUGAGGAAAAUCAAGAUUACUUAAUAACUUCUGGAGAGCAGAACGAAGAUUUAUUCGUAAAGGUUCCAGAUAUCUUUUCAACUGAUUUGCCUCUCGAUAAUCGAUCGUCAUUGUUAUCCCGCCCUAAGGGGUUACCGAGGCCAAGUGAGAAUCAAGAGCGCGGGAAAAGCGAUAUUACUCCAAUAUUCAGUUUCGGGGCGGGUCGAGAAUCUCUCGCCGUCACGUUCUCAGGAUCGGAAGUGCGGUGUCGAUUUUGCAACGAUACGAGAUACUUUCUGCCGUCUCGCGUUAUGCAACGCGCGAUGCGUAUUUGCUCGUGUACUUCUCGUUCAUGAGAAGUUGUACGGCCGCAAAAUUUCCACGAUACGAUCUGCUCAGUGUGAGCGCGUCGAAUUCGAGCAAUUUAUCGUGAUACUCGAGUAAGCUGGGCAAUGGGCGCGAAAGAUCGAAUCGGAUAACCGAUCGACAAGCAAGAUAAACUUCUCAAAUCUCCGUUGCGACAUUCUAAAAUAACUACAGUUGUAAAAUAAAUAUUACGCGUUCUUACAAGUCUAUUAAACAGUUUAUUUAUUAUAAAGUGACUUUUCAUUCAAUAAAUCCUUUCUUACAAUCACUUGUUAUAAACACUUCAUCUGUUACGUAUUACGAAAUAGGAUUUCGUCACUAAACAUAUUAAACUCGAGAGCUUUCUCGUUACGCUUUUGUGGAUAAAUGUAAAUUUGAAUAAAUGCAGAGAGUCAACUUUC
RNAcentral lists this long non-coding RNA (2464 nucleotides) under Monomorium pharaonis (pharaoh ant). Its description in RNAcentral is "uncharacterized LOC114254005, transcript variant X1". The record is from RNAcentral. Lineage: Eukaryota; Metazoa; Arthropoda; Insecta; Hymenoptera; Formicidae.